UACAGGGGGGGCAAGCGUUGUUCGGAAUUACUGGGCGUAAAGGGCUCGUAGGUGGCCAACUAAGUCAGACGUGAAAUCCCUCAGCUUAACUGGGGAACUGCGUCUGAUACUGGAUGGCUUGAGUUUGGGAGAGGGAUGCGGAAUUCCAGGUGUAGCGGUGAAAUGCGUAGAUAUCUGGAGGAAUACCGGUGGCGAAGGCGGUUCUCUGGGCAUGUCCUGACGCUGAGGAGCGAAAGUGUGGGGAGCGAACAGG
RNAcentral lists this ribosomal RNA (253 nucleotides) under uncultured bacterium. RNAcentral's name for it is "partial 16S ribosomal RNA". It matches the Rfam family "Bacterial small subunit ribosomal RNA", at positions 524 to 776 of the family's 1533-position model. The record is from RNAcentral.